Molecule: long non-coding RNA, 356 nt
Organism: Syngnathoides biaculeatus (alligator pipefish)
Lineage: Eukaryota; Metazoa; Chordata; Actinopteri; Syngnathiformes; Syngnathidae
Exons: 4
Source: RefSeq, a predicted model, not a curated record
GCGCAAAUGGAGUGUGCCGUCCGGUUGUUCCGAGCGACACACUCCCCGAGACUUGCGAGUCCCAUUCCGCAUUACCCCCGCUUUGCCUGACGAGACAGAGCGGCCGCAGGGUCAAGCAGGACGACACAUUUGCAGGGUCAUAGGUGUGUUGGAGUCUACCUCAGCUGUCUUCAGGCCACAGAUCCAUCCAUGUAUUUUCUGAGGCGCUUAUCCUCAUAAAGUUUGCGGGAGUGCUGCAGCCUAUCCCAGCUAUCUUCAGGCAGGAGGGUGACAGGAGUACUGAAGUCUAUCCCUGCUAUCUUCAGGCACUGGUAUCCUGCACACCCUAAACUGGUUUCCAGCCAAUCAUAAGGCAA